This is a long non-coding RNA of Alexandromys fortis (reed vole), 868 nucleotides long. RefSeq lists it as uncharacterized. Lineage: Eukaryota; Metazoa; Chordata; Mammalia; Rodentia; Cricetidae. The record is from RefSeq and is a predicted model, not a curated record. The transcript has 4 exons.
GGGCUUUCCCUAGUGUGCUUGCCAAAAGGAGUUGCCACCUCGUUCCAAUAGUCUCCCGUUGUCCCGCAGGAGCUAGUACCACGUGACGCUGCAUUGUUCUCUUUUCUAUGCCCGUAGCUCGCCCCUGGAGAAGGAACACACAAUGAAGACCGAGAGUUUGCCUUCCUCGCUCUGCUGGUUCGCUGUUGUCUGCUAGAUUUUUCAGGUUCUGCCUCAAAGUUCCUGUCUUGAGUUCUUGCCUUGGCUGCCCUCUACGUUGAACUGUAACCUGUUCUGGACCAAGAUGCCCUGAAGGUAUUAAGGGGAGGAGCUACAGCAUGUUACCCCCACAUUCUAAGAGAAGUGACGUUUGGGAUCUUGCUUCUGUGAUGCCGGAAGUGGGUCACUGGCUUGGAUGUGACCAUGGCAACAGCAGCAGCAGAGGAGAGAUGCAGGCGCUCAUGAAGAAUGAAAUCCAAGUAUCACACUACAGUUAAGAGACACAGAAGAUGCCUGACCUAUAAUGGAUUGACUACCGUGGGACAUGUAGGAGCAGAGUGGACGACCUGGGACUGCCUACUUCAGGGUCCACAUUUCCCAGCCAAGCUUAAGGAAUGGAAAAGGCAGGGCGUAGCUCCUCUCAGCUGGAGCUCUGCCCUGUGAUUCCUGCCUCGUCUUUCUGGCUCCACCUGUUGAACUGAAGCGGUACUUUUUUAUUUAAAAAAAACGGAUAGUUUUGCGUGGCCUGAUUUGCCUUUUAAUCUGUGAUUUUUAUCCACCUGUGCUGGCUCGUUUAAGUCAACUUAACUCGGGCAAGAGUCAUCCGAGAUGAGAGAACCCCAACUGAGUAAAUGCCUCCAUAAGAUCACAUGGUAGGCAAGCCUGUGGG